UUUUGUAAACAGCUUCUUAAAAUGUAUUUGUGGACGAGUAUUUGUUUUGUGCUGCAGGGAUGGGGUGCGGCGUUGGGAGCGCUGGGUUUCGUGACCAGGUGGUGGGGCUGGGCUAUCUGUGGGAGACAUGGACAGAGGCAGAACAGGUAGUGGUGGUGUACUCCCUUAUCAGGCGCCUCAGUCCAAUCCCUGCAAGAUUCCUCCUCAACGUGCUCACCCACACCACCGCGCCCGACGCCGCCGACCUUGCCCCUGCCGAGGCCACUGCCAAUGACCCAGGGCCAUUGCCACACCAGCACUUAAAGCCUACAUGAUGACAGUCUUGUUUGACAAACAAUAAUUCAGACUUGAGCCAGUAACCCGAACCAGAACUUACUGCAUAUGUGAUGACAGUUUUGUCAGACCAGCAUUGAAAAUUCAGACCUUGGCAAAUUCUUCAAGUGGUGUGAUAGAUUGAAUAAAGACUCUUGUUGACUGAGACUAUCCAUGACUCACCGUGACUGCAGCUUGACACUUGCUUCCAUAUUUACGGCAAUGCAAUUUCAGAUAUUUACACGAUGCAGUAUAGAAAAAGUAGCAGUAAUAUCACAUAUAGCGUCACUGUUUGUGAAAUAAAUUUGCAGAGAGGUUGAGUGUACUUAUAUUGGAGAGAAAGUAUAAAUAAAAUUGAUGGUGCUAAGAGUGCAAACCCAGUGUUCUUACUUGGGUAAAUGAGUUACUGUACAAAGAUUUUUGUGAGUAUUAAAAUUAGAAAUGAUAAUAUAGCAAAUAAAGAAAUAACAGUGAAAUUAGUGUUAGCAAUGUAAAACCAAACUAAGCCAGUGAUACAAUUAAAUUAGAGAAGUGGCAGAAAAUAUUUGGAAACUAAAUAUAAAUUACAGGGAGGGAAUGCUCACUUCUGCCCAGGUCUAAGGCACAAAUUGAAUGAAGGCAACACACUCAAGAUACCAAAUGCUACUGAAAAAUUUCACUUUAAAGGAACUCAUUAUAAUGGCUUUUCGACUUAAGGAACAAAAUCCAAACAAAGGAUGAAAUUCGGAAAAAGGGACAAAGUUUGUUUCCCUUUCUUUAUUUCAAAUCUGCAAAAAAAGUGUCUUAAGCUGUAUUAUUCUCUUGAUUGAAAUUAAUAAUACAAUAUAAAACAUUCAUUUGCAGAUGUGAAAAAAAGUGUGUGCCUUAAUGUUGGUAGUUGAAGCUAAUUUGAUAAGUUGAAGUGAAAUUUGAUACAUUUGCCCAAAAUGAAUGGUCAAGCUGUGAGUGCUGAUAGAGAAAGGGCAGAUAAGAAUAAUGUAUGAGAAAAUUUUGCUGGUUGCAAUUUAAGAGUGUAACUAUAUAGAGUGGAUAGGUUAGCAAUGUGGCAGAUGUUGCAAGCACUAUAUGGAAUAGGUGGUAAGUUACUAAAUGCUGUAAAGAGUUUUUAUGAGGAUAGUGAGGCUCAGGUUAGGGUGUGUAGAAGAGAGGGAGAAUACUUCCCGGUAAAAGUAGGUCUUAGACAGGGAUGUGUACUGUCACCAUGGUUGUUUAAUAUAUUUAUAGAUGGAGUUGUAAAAGAAGUAAAUGCUAGGGUGUUCGGGAGAGGGGUGGGAUUAAAUUAUGGGGAAUCAAAUACAAAAUGGGAAUUGACACAGUUACUUUUUGCUGAUGAUACUGUGCUUAUGGGAGAUUAUAAAGAAAAAUUGCAAAGGUUAG
Cherax quadricarinatus is the source of this 1689-nucleotide non-coding RNA. The record is from RefSeq and is a predicted model, not a curated record. NCBI's taxonomy places the organism in Eukaryota, Metazoa, Arthropoda, Malacostraca, Decapoda, Parastacidae.